UAAAUGGGGGCCUUCUCCUGUUUUUCAUCUCCCAAUUGGUUUUUGAAAAUUUAUUCUAUUUAUAUUUUCACUGGAUUUCAGGAAGCAAAAAAAUAAGAAAUUUACAUAUUUCAGACAUACAAAAAUAUAUUAAAUUAGCAAGUUUGUUUACAAUAAGUUUUAACUAGUCAUAAAUUCUAUACUAUUUCUUUUUGUUUCUAUUUGGAAAUUUAUUCUAUUUCUUCUCAUCGGUGGAACUUGUAGGCAUCGGAUCUCACUGGGUUUCGCUGGAUUUCAUGAAGAAAAAAUUAAAACUUUACAUAUUUCAAACAUGCAAAAAUAUAUUUAAUUAGCAAUUAUAUUUAAAUUCUAGUGUGGUACCCAGCUUUUAGUGGCCACCCUGGCAAUCUAGGUAUAGCAAUUUCCUAGGAUCAUCUAUCAUGCGCUGCAACUUUGAUGCUUCCUUCUGAGUUUCGCAAUCUCUGUGUGCAUCCCUAAGCACUUGAUCGAGGUCAUCAGUAUUGCAAACUCAAAUAUUGCUGAAAGUUUACAUAGAAAUGCACCAAUUAUUUAGCUCAUAUUUAAUUUACAAAGAACUAAACUAUUAAAAAAUUUAAUAUUUUCCACAUAAUUUACUUAUUCCAAAAAUGGCUAAUUCCAUACCUCUGUCUGAAAAGUACUAAAGUAUGAAAUUACACCUACAAUUUAUAUGGCUAAUUUAUAAAUAUUAAAAACACAUUUACUCUAAUUUUUCCCUAAUACAUAAAAUUGAAAUAAUCUCAAUUCUACCUCACAUUUACUAUCCAUUCUCCCUCACAUUCAAACUAUCCAUCACAUUGUAGCUCAAAAAUAUGUAUAAAUACAAAUCCUCUACAUGCUUAACAAUAAAUAAACUCAUUUUUCUCCCUCUCUAAGUAUAAAACAAAGCUUAACAACAAUAAAUGAACGGAGCAUGAAGUAGCUAACCUUCACAACACUUUGGAUGAGUGAAAUCCCCACGGAAAUGAGGAAAAAAAAUUCAGCAGCACCUCCCCUAGGCUUGCUUCGGCGCCAUGGAGAGGAUGAGCUUCUCUGUCUUUGUGGAGUGGAGUGACUCGGGCUGGAGGAGUGGUCCCUCCUGUAGAUAAGAUUUUAUCCCGAUUGGUAAAUCCAACCGGGACAAAAGAUUAGAGCUUUUGUUCCGGUUGGUGUUUACUCCCGGUUCCCGGUUGGUAAAUACAACUGGGAUAAAAGGUUAGAUCUUUUGUCCCGUUGGUGGCUCCAACCUGGGGUAAAGGAUGGCCGUUUUAACUGAG
This 1274-nucleotide long non-coding RNA is filed under the name Setaria viridis. RNAcentral's name for it is "long non-coding RNA (SVIR_LNC007910)". Lineage: Eukaryota; Viridiplantae; Streptophyta; Magnoliopsida; Poales; Poaceae. The record is from RNAcentral.